CUUCCCUCGGGCGGGGGAUAACAUUCCGAAAGGAGUGCUAAUACCGCAUAAGACCACGUUCUCGAAAGGGAACGAGGUAAAAGCCGGCCUCUAUAUAUAAGCUGGCACCUGAGGAUGAGUCCGCGGCCCAUCAGCUAGUUGGUAGGGUAAUGGCCUACCAAGGCUAAGACGGGUAGCUGGUCUGAGAGGAUGAUCAGCCACACUGGAACUGAGACACGGUCCAG
Molecule: ribosomal RNA, 224 nt
Filed under: uncultured bacterium
Lineage: Bacteria
Description: partial 16S ribosomal RNA
Rfam family: Bacterial small subunit ribosomal RNA
Source: RNAcentral